This is a long non-coding RNA of Stomoxys calcitrans (stable fly), 7305 nucleotides long. RefSeq lists it as uncharacterized. The record is from RefSeq and is a predicted model, not a curated record. The transcript has 10 exons. NCBI's taxonomy places the organism in Eukaryota, Metazoa, Arthropoda, Insecta, Diptera, Muscidae.
UUAAAUUAACUUGACAUCAAUAAAGCGGACGGACGGAAAAAAAAAUUGCUGAAUAAACAAUUAAAUUAAAGAUGCUGCACCGACGUCAAACUCGCAUCGGCCGCUUCGUUUGAGAGCACGGACCAUAACAGACGUGGACCAGCGACAUAAUGUGCCCAGGGCAGAUGAACUGGUAAGUGUCAAAUAAAUAAUACGCCACGGCCAAAAAAACUUCAAGGCUGAAUCCAAAAAUUAUGUGCCUCCUAAAACUAAAGCUAAGUAUCCUUAACUAUCAAUUCAAAAGAAAAUCCAAAUCCUAAUUCAUUUUUCUCUUAUCCUAUAGCUUCCUACACUACUGGCUUAUACCUAUGGACCUUGGGCCAAUGUAAUGGAAUUCAACUUAUAGCUAAAACGGCAAGUCACUGAUCUCAAUUUUUAUUAACUUUUUAUCGGAGGAGACCUCCGUAGCGCAGAGGCCUACAUGGCCGCUUAUGACGCUAAGCGCCUGGAUUCGUAUCCUGGCGAGACCACCAGAAAAAUUUUUCCGCGGUGGUUUUCCCCUCCUAAUGCUGUCAACAUUUGUGAGGUACUAUUCCAUGUAAAACUUCUCUCGAAAAGAAAAGAAGAAAAGCCUCUUAUCAUCGAGUUUAAACUUAAAUCGGACUACACUCACUGAUAUGUGAGAAGUCUGCCCCCAUUCCUUAGUGGAAUGUUCAUGGGUAAAAUUUGCAAUUUGCUUUAUCGGACACAUUGGUAGCUAGAAGAUAUUUACUAUUUUAGGUCCUUAGUAUGGUAAACGCCCAAUGAUUUCCCUUUUAGAUCUUCAAUCUCAUAUAAGCACUUUCCGACUGCUUUAACUAUUCGACACUUUAUGUAUUUCUUGUUGAGUUUUGCGUUGAUAUUUCUACCGAAGUCGAUCAAUUGAUGGUUACGUCGAUAAACCUCUUCACCUGGGAAAAACCUGACUCUUCGGGCACGAAUGUUGUAUUUGCUAGCCCUAUCGCGGUAACUCUUCUGUAACCUUUUUCUGACCUCUUCCCUCACUAAUUCCAAAUGUUUCGAUUUUGGUAAAGCACUAAACUCUGAGUCUUUCAACGAGUCUAAUUUUCUAGCCAGUCUAUAAACGCUGCCGUGCGUAAUCAUACUGGUUCCAAAAAGAGCAAAAUAAGGUGUUAUGCCUAUUAAAGAAUGCACCGAUGACCGCAAUGCGCACUUGAUUGCAGACAAGUUUUGGUCCCAAUCCCUUUGAUCCUCCUGCAAGUUUGAACGAAUGGCCGCCAAUAUAGAUUGAUUAACGCGUUCUGAUGCGUUAGCUUGAGGUGAAUAGAGUCCCGUUUUCAUAUGGCCUACACCGUAAGCCUUUAUAAACGCCGCGAAAUCUUUCCCAGUAAAUUGUUUCCCCUUGUCGGAUAAAAUCGUUUCGGGCACACCAAAUUUGUGGAAAACUUCUUGCUCAAGAAAUGUAAUAACAUUUCGAGCGGUUACCUUUCCCAUUGGUUUCAAUAAAACAUAUUUGGUCAGGUGGUCUAAGACAAUAAAAAUGUAGCAGUUUCUGAAAAGGACGACUGAUUUCUACCAUUGCCCCCAUCGGCUGACGCAUUGGAUGAUUAUUCGGCAUAGCCUCUUUGCACACUUGGCACUUCUAAACGAAAAGUCUGACCUGAGCACUCAUAUUAGGCCAGUAGUAAUAUUCUUUCAACCUAAACAGUGUCUUGUGGAAACCGCCGUGCGCUGCUAUGCUGGGACAAUGAGCUUUCUAUAUAGCAGAUGCCGUGAGCGAUUCCGGUACCCAUAGUUUCCAUACUGAAUCCUCGUAAGGAAGGUCCACCGUCACUGGUAUUGUCCGUUUGUAGAGAUGGCCAUCAAUGACUCUUAAGUCUGGCAAAUUCUUCUGGUUAGCCUCCACGGCUUUGAUCUUCUCAAGGUACUCCUCUUCCUUGAACUCAGCCGCAUUGAGGUCUACUAGACUAAAGGAUGGCAAAUCCAAUUCAUCAAGAUUAUAUCGCGAAAGCUCGUCAGGUACCACGUUUUGACUACCCCGGCGGUGUUCUAUUUCGAAGUUGUGCCCCUGCAGUAAAAGACUCCAUCUUGCCAGACGACCGCUCAGCUCUUUGUUGCUCAUCAACCACUUAAGUGAUGAAUGAUCUGUGAUGACCGUAAACGGCAUCAGCUCUAUAUAAGGGCGAAACUUUUUUAUUGCCAUCACCACGGCUAGGCACUCCCUUUCAGUGACGGAGUAAUUUUUCUGCGCUGGGGACAACUUCUGCGACAUGAACGCUAUCGGAUGCUCGCCUCCUUCAUCGUAUUUUUGAAACAGGACACCACCAAUACCAACGUCGGAUGCAUCACACUGGAUGUAAAAAUGUUUCCGGAAAUCGGGGUGUCUUAAGACUGGACUACGGGUUAAAGCCUCCUUUAGCCGUUCGAACCCUAUUUUGGCUUCAUCACCAAACUCUAAACCACGCCCUUUCUUUAAUGUUGCGAAAAUUGGUGCUGCGACCAGCCUGUCAUACCUGUGAAACGCCUAACUUGUUUGACAUUCUUUAGGUAUUCGUGCCCACCUAUCGCAGAAACCUUGUCAGGAUCAGGCUUUACUCUUCCCUCGCCAACUAUAUACCCGAGGUAUCGUAGCUUUUUAAAACAGAAAUUUGACUUUGCCACGUUAAUUGUUAGACCAGCCGCGUUUAAGGCCUUUACCACUUGUCUCAAAAUGUCGAGAUGUGUUUCAAAAUCUGGGGCCACUAUGAGCAGGUCAUCCAAAUAAACAAACACUCUUUCACGGAGAUGCGCAGGAAUCAACUUAUCCAUUAACCGGCACAUCCUUUGGGCUGCGUUACACAACCCAAAGGGCAUUACGGUGAACUGGUAUAGGGAUCUUCCUGGUACAGUAAAGGCCGUUUUCUCCCUGCUCUUCAUCUCGAGUGGUAUCUGCCAGAAAGCAUCUUUCAGAUCCACACUCGAUAUGAAAUGCAUAUCCCCUAGCUGGCUGAGACGGCCCUCAAUGUUUGGGAGCGGAUAGGCAUCCUUGACAGUAAUGGAAUUGAGCUUUCGAGCAUCCAGGCAUAAUCUAUUUUUUGUGCCUUUCCGGACUAAUGUCACUGGGUUAUUCCAGGGGCUCUCACUGGGCUCAAUGACCCUCAUGUCAAGCAUCCUAUCCAGCUCUGCAUACAUUAGGCUUUGGACUACUGGAGAUACAGGGUAAUGACGUUGCUUUACAGGUAUUGCAUCUGCCGUGUCAAUAGUGUGUGUCUCUAUGGAUGUGCUGCCCAAUCCCCUUAUCUCGAAAGACGGAAACUGAGAUAUGACCUCGUCUAAUCUCCCCCUCUGAUCACUGUUCAAUUGAUGCUUGAAUGGGUCAAUAGGGUCGUCUUCUGCCUCCUCCUCCAACGACAAACUUUCAACACUGGCUAUCAAUUUAUAACGUUUCAUGAAAUCGACCCCAAGGUAUAGUGCUUUUCUUAAAGUGGGGACUAAGAAAAAGGUCACCUCACUUUCCAUUUUACCAAGUUUCACUGGGGCCCGAAUACGUCCUACAACCUUGUGCGGUGUCCCGUCUGCUGUGCCGACUUGUCCCGAAAACUUAAAAAUUGGUAUCUGCGCCAUUUCAACUAACUCUAGACAGCCUUUGCCUAAAACGGUGACUGUUGCGCCACUAUCUAACAACCCCCCUACCUCUUCAUUUCCAAUUUUCACUCGCAAGUAGAGACGAGUGUCUUCGCCUUCAUAUAAGAUAGAUAAGGCUAUCUCCUGCCUGAGUUUCCUUCUAGACCUAUACCGCUCUCUAGCUCGUUUGAUUCGCAGAUGUCUCUACCGAUUGUUUAGAGUCUGUUUUGACUCAGCAGAGAUUAGCUGACUUACCUUACCUAUAUCUAAAACCUUAUUUAAUACACUAUUAUCAUACAAUUCAUUCUUCUCAUUAUAUUUGUUUAAUUCAUUAACUUCACUUACUUCACUAAAUAUCCUAGCUCUAACUUGAUUAUCCUCCUGCACUCUUACGUGCCAAGGCCUUAUCUCUUUAAGUUUAAAUUCAUUCCGUUUACCACUACUACUAACACUAUUUUUCUUUAAAACUACUUCAGGUUCCAUUUGCAACUAUUCUUAUUUGGGGUUUGUUUGUGCCGGACGUGUUGUCCCCUUUACCGAGCCCGUCUGGAUGUUUCCCUUACACUUGGGACAAUUUGGCUUGACAACGUUCUCCAAACCACAACCAUAACAGAACAGAUUUCGUGUUGUCGAAGGGCUGUCCAUGAAUCCGUGUCCUCUUUCUUUGCAAUUCCAGCACACUUAGUUUGCUUGUCUUGAAAUUGCCUCCACUUCUUGUGGCUCAUCCGCCUCGAUGGCAUGGACUCGUGGAGCAAACUGCUGCCUAUGUCCCUGGUUUGCUUGCCUUUGAUUUCCCAACGUUGUUUCGGCCUUUCUGCAUUCUUCAAGGAAGUGUUGGAGGCCAUACAUGCGAAUUGGGAACACCAAAGCUGCCAAAACCGGUUUCAAGUUACCUUUCAUCAUCUCCACCAGCAUGUUUUCGCCCAUUGGCUCUCGUUGCUGGUGUCGCAAACGCAGCAUCGAAUUAUAGAAAUCUUCGAAAGGCUCCUGUGGACCUUGUCUUCUAUCCAUCAUACGCCGCUGCACGUCGAAAUCACUCUCAAAUUUCCUGAACUGAGACAGGAAUGCCUCUUUUAGCGCCUCAAAGCUAUGAACUCGCCCCAAUCGUUGCGGGAACUUUACUAGCGACUCGUCUUCAUCGCAUUCAUGGUCUGCUUUCAAUUGGUCCAAUCUAAAUAUGAAAUCUUCAGCUGUAAUUGAUUUGGAUGUGCCAUCAAAUGUCAGCUUCCAUUUUUCCAUGUCCACUUUUCGAAUAUGGCUUCUUGACGCAGUAGAAAGAUAUGGGUAUGGUACUGGUGCAGCACCUGAUUGUGGUGGCAGUCGCCAUGUCUGCUCAUUCCCGUUGUGGUACUGUCUGGGCUGUCUGUGGCGGUUUGCGCGGUUAUACUGCCAAAAUUUGGGGUCUCUGGAGAUGCCUCGUUUAUUGCUGAGAUUGACGCACCAACGACUGACUGUGCUGGGCUUGAAACUGCCGAUGACACUAUAUUAGCGGGCACUAUCAUUGUUGCGGUUGUGCUCGCUCCUGCUGUGGUCGUUGUGGUUGUUAGCAUCGUUGUUGUCGUGUUUGUUGUUGCUGUUGGUGCCAUGUUAGAACAUAUGGGCUAUUGAAUCUAAAACUAUUUUAUAUUAAUGCAUUCUUCUCUCCCUAGAAACGUCGCAAACGACCAUCGGAACUUGAAUUCCGUUAAGCCGUGACUUACGCCUUCUUCAUGGAUUGGAAAAAUACACUGCUACAAUAGUAUCCAUGUAAGUUUCACGGAUUCCUCCAUGAGACUCACGGUUUCAGCUUCCAUUAACCCAUCACCGGGGCUUACAUGAGCGGAAAAUAUGAAACAAACAUGGAACGAUUGAAACUAUAAUGACGUGGUAAGCCUGAUCUCUCAGGCCCCAUUUUGCGGGCGCCAUUUUUUGUGUCACAUACCCCCAUAGGAGGUCGCUCCACCUUUUCUCUGGAGUGGCAAUUGAUGCUGGCAGGCGCUGGCUGCUGGCGGUUGAGCUCCGGCUGUGGCUCAGUGGAUGGGGCGCGGUUCUUUGCCAACACCUAUUGCCAAAAAGGAGGGACAAAAAAAAACUAAAAUUAAGCAGCUUUUGGAUGGACAAAUACAGCGGGUUCCUGGUUCUAAUGGCGACUGUUCCGGAUAAAUACAAUGGAGUCCCCGGGUAUUGUGGUCCUGGUGGCAGCCUCUGCGCCCAAUAGGGUCCCUUUUAGGUUCUCGUUUGUCCGUCCGUCCGUCUAGUCUUUGGGGUUUUCUGAUGUGCUGCUUUCUCAGCACCGUAAGGUCAACAUUGGCUGAUGGGCAAGGAUAUAUCCUCUACUAUCCACUACCUAUCCUAACUAUGAGCUCAUGUUUAGGUUACUGUAUCGAACCCAACCAAAGGAAAAAACUUUUUUAACAAAAUAAAUCUGUCGAGAGUCAACGGUCUGUAUGCCUGUCGGUUUAUGGUCGGAGAAACUUUUUGGACUACCUUAUGGACACUGGGUGGCAACAUAUGGUGGUAACGCAGGGUUGUAUUCCCUAGUUGCCAUAAAAAAACGCAACUGUUCAAAACCAGAUGUCGCUCUACUCCAAUCAGACAUAGGGUGACACGCUACAAAUUUAAUAAAAUGUUACAAAACGAAAGGCAUUUAACAACAUGUACAUCUGUAGGGUAUAGCCGAUUGUACCCAGGCUUCUCGUCUGCCAUGGAAUUCACCGCCAAUGGUAUCUCGUCCCACCUGGACGCUUACUCUCUGUCUGUCUAUGUCCGUCCAAAGCUCGUAAUGUUACAGGCCAUUUUAUACGCCAAUUUCCAAUGGCCAAUUUCCUACAUGGCUAGAUCGAGCUCUUUCUAUUGGGGAAGGGCAAGGACCGUAAAAGAGUUGGAAGCGGUCCAAACAAAAACAAAAAACAUAAUUCUGAUACAAUAAAGCAAAUGCCUACCUUUACCAAAUUGAAAAAAAUGCUUUUCUCUUCUAUUUUUUUUCCAGAUAUAUUAGUCCGUCCGUCCGUCCAAGGUUUGUGUCCUGUGUAAAGUAUUGGGUCGUAAGCAAUCACCUGGGACACUGCGAGCUGCAAGUGUCUUUUGAAGAAUCCCACGCUGGAGCAAAGGAGUGUAAAAACAGGACCAGGUAUAAUGCGAGAUGGACUCUCAGAUCGGUAGAUGAUGAUGGCACCAGCUUGGUACCGGUAGAUGGACCCUCAGUUGAUCCGUAUGUGUCUGUCUGUUUAUUGUCUUUUUCUCUCGGUGGUGUUAUAUGUAAAAAUAUACAUAUGCAUGUAUUUAGGUUUUCUUGCAAUAGAGCCAGCACAAUCGGCCUCACUAUUGGGACACUGCCCCCACUUUAAACCUACGCUAAAGCUAGUUAAAAAAGAUAUAGGCUGAAACAAAAGGAAAAUAAGGAAGUCAAGUCUGGAAUCCGUUUGUUCGAAGUUAAUGGUAAUUCAACCGUCCGCAUAGGGCUUUACAUGGGGCAUGUGGGUCUGAGCAUGCCAGUUUGCUGCGUUUCCCACAUUGAUUGAAGUGGUGAUGGUGGCUGGACGUGGCCGAAAAGAUACGUUUAUAUUUGUAGUUCAAAUCUUGCUUGUAAUUUUGAGGUUUUGUUUAGUUUGUAAGUAUACGGUUUAUUUAGCUUGUAAGUUUUUGGUUUAUUUAGCUUGCAAGUUUAUGGUUUAUUUAGCUUGUAAGUGUUUGUGUAGUUUAUUUUAUUUUGCAGGUUAUUUAGCAAGUAAGUUCAUUUAGCUC